This 438-nucleotide ribosomal RNA is filed under the name Oenococcus oeni. RNAcentral's name for it is "bacterial LSU rRNA". It matches the Rfam family "Bacterial large subunit ribosomal RNA", at positions 2489 to 2925 of the family's 2925-position model. Lineage: Bacteria; Bacillati; Bacillota; Bacilli; Lactobacillales; Lactobacillaceae. The record is from RNAcentral.
CCCCCAAGAGUUCACAUCGACGGGGAGGUUUGGCACCUCGAUGUCGGCUCAUCGCAUCCUGGGGCUGUAGUCGGUCCCAAGGGUUGGGCUGUUCGCCCAUUAAAGCGGUACGCGAGCUGGGUUCAGAACGUCGUGAGACAGUUCGGUCCCUAUCCGUCGUGGGCGUAGGAAAUUUGAGAGGAGCUGUCCUUAGUACGAGAGGACCGGGAUGGACAUACCUCUGGUGUACCAGUUGUCGUGCCAACGGCAUAGCUGGGUAGCUAUGUAUGGACGGGAUAAGUGCUGAAAGCAUCUAAGCAUGAAGCCCCCCUCAAGAUGAGAUUUCCCAACUUCGGUUAUAAGAUCCCUCAAAGAUGAUGAGGUUAAUAGGUUCGAGGUGGAAGCGUGGUGACACGUGGAGCUGACGAAUACUAAUCGAUCGAAGACUUAAUCAAAAUU